RNAcentral lists this ribosomal RNA (818 nucleotides) under uncultured crenarchaeote. RNAcentral's name for it is "bacterial SSU rRNA". It matches the Rfam family "Archaeal small subunit ribosomal RNA", at positions 52 to 878 of the family's 1478-position model. Lineage: Archaea; Thermoproteati; Thermoproteota. The record is from RNAcentral.
UGCGAGUCAACGCCGCAAGGCGUGGCAUACGGCUCAGUAACACGUAGUCAACAUGCCCAAAGGACGGGGAUAACCUCGGGAAACUGAGGAUAAACCGCGAUAGGCCAAGGUUUCUGGAAUGAGCCAUGGCCGAAAUCUAUAUGGCCUUUGGAUUGGACUGCGGCCGAUCAGGCUGUUGGUGAGGUAAUGGCCCACCAAACCUGUAACCGGUACGGGCUUUGAGAGAAGGAGCCCGGAGAUGGGCACUGAGACAAGGGCCCAGGCCCUAUGGGGCGCAGCAGGCGCGAAACCUCUGCAAUAGGCGAAAGCUUGACAGGGUUACUCUGAGUGAUGCCCGCUAAGGGUAUCUUUUGGCACCUCUAAAAAUGGUGCAGAAUAAGGGGUGGGCAAGUCUGGUGUCAGCCGCCGCGGUAAUACCAGCACCCCGAGUUGUCGGGACGAUUAUUGGGCCUAAAGCAUCCGUAGCCUGUUCUGCAAGUCCUCCGUUAAAUCCACCUGCUUAACGGAUGGGCUGCGGGGGAUACUGCAGAGCUAGGAGGCGGGAGAGGCAAACGGUACUCAGUGGGUAGGGGUAAAAUCCUUUGAUCUACUGAAGACCACCAGUGGCGAAGGCGGUUUGCCAGAACGCGCUCGACGGUGAGGGAUGAAAGCUGGGGGAGCAAACCGGAUUAGAUACCCGGGUAGUCCCAGCUGUAAACGAUGCAGACUCGGUGAUGGGUUGGCUUCGAGCCAACCCAGUGCCGCAGGGAAGCCGUUAAGUCUGCCGCCUGGGGAGUACGGUCGCAAGACUGAAACUUAAAGGAAUUGGCGGGGGAGCA